This is a long non-coding RNA of Ochotona princeps (American pika), 385 nucleotides long. RefSeq lists it as uncharacterized. The transcript is spliced from 3 exons. Lineage: Eukaryota; Metazoa; Chordata; Mammalia; Lagomorpha; Ochotonidae. The record is from RefSeq and is a predicted model, not a curated record.
GGCCCUUCCCAGCUCCAGGUAACAUCAGAAAGAUCACAGUCCAGGAAUGGGUCUUCAAGAUCACUAACAACAACUACAACAAACAUCAGAAGAAAGAUAACGAAAUUGACUUGGGUUUUGGAGUUCUGUGUGUACCCUGGUCAAGACCAUAAAAUAACAAAUCCGGCACUAGAACCCAGGUCUUCUGGGAAGUUUCUCCAAGUUGUCCUUGUUGAUCUGAAAAGUAAUUGAAAGUAAGUAAUGUGACAUCUGAGAACUACACUUCUGAUAAGCGCAACAUUUCUUCAUAGAGUAUUUGUGUGAAGCGCUGUAAUUAAAUGCAAAUACAUCUCAUUUUUAGUAUUAUUAUCUUUUAAUUCUUAAAUGCUUUACCUUUCUAGCCCAA